GAGGAGCUACAGCAGAGGAUAUGGGGGAAGGGUCUGCACCUGGCAAGGCCCCACAAAGUCCUGCUCAGUUAGAGUUAGGAGUACAAGAGGUUUAGUGAGGGGGUGAUGUCUGUGAGAAAUAAAAGGGAGAAGAAGCAGGCUUGGGCUGGGAAAGCCCCAGACUGCUAAAGAGAUUUGACCUUAUCAGUUAACCCAGUUAGAAGUUCUAAAGUAACUGCUACCCUCAGAGCAGUCCCAUCUUAGCAGAAAUGACUAUGUCCCCAUCUCCGUGCCCUGCUGAGUCACUGGCUGGGAGUCUCUAGGAAUGAACCUGGCCAAGAUGCAAAAGCCUAGGUGAAGCCUGGGGGUGCCAACAGUGGUAAGGCGUCAGCUCAGCACAAUCCUUGUAGCUGUCGCUCUAGCAGCUGCAGCUUCUCAGUAGAAUCAGGAGAGGGCGCCCACGGACCUGUCUUUGCCUCGCUCCUAGCAAAGCCUCGCGACCGGGUUAAAGUCAAUCCCGAAGGACUUCAGAAUGUGGCCGUAUUUGGAGGAUUCUUCACCACUGAGUCAUCUGGGAAGCCUGACAAAAACAGAUCAGCCAAUACACUGAUGUCUUGGAGGAUUCACCAGAUUUCUUCUGUACAUGGGGACAGCUCCUAUGGUGGAAAAUGGCAAUUUACAUGGGAUAAGACUUCUACCUGACCUUACCUGUGUGUCCUCUGCAAGCUUAUCCAGGUGGUGCCAUCUAUCUUUCUGUUUCUCCACCAAAGAGAAAGCACACGUGCUGAGUUGCAGCAAAGCACUCCAGAUAUGAGAGAAAUAGGUUGAAGAAGAUGCCUCAUGCUUAAUUUUCCUAGACAUGCAGAACUAGAUCAAAUCUCGUAUAACCAUGUCAUAAGACAUUGGGCAUCUAUAAAU
This is a long non-coding RNA of Bos taurus (domestic cattle), 897 nucleotides long. The record is from Ensembl. NCBI's taxonomy places the organism in Eukaryota, Metazoa, Chordata, Mammalia, Artiodactyla, Bovidae.